RNAcentral lists this ribosomal RNA (336 nucleotides) under uncultured bacterium. RNAcentral's name for it is "partial 16S ribosomal RNA". It matches the Rfam family "Bacterial small subunit ribosomal RNA", at positions 355 to 708 of the family's 1533-position model. The record is from RNAcentral.
UGGGGAAUAUUGGACAAUGGGGGCAACCCUGAUCCAGCAAUGCCGCGUGUGUGAAGAAGGUCUUCGGAUUGUAAAGCACUUUCGACGGGGACGAUGAUGACGGUACCCGUAGAAGAAGCCCCGGCUAACUUCGUGCCAGCAGCCGCGGUAAUACGAAGGGGGCUAGCGUUGCUCGGAAUGACUGGGCGUAAAGGGCGUGUAGGCGGUUUACACAGUCAGAUGUGAAAUCCCCGGGCUUAACCUGGGAGCUGCAUUUGAUACGUGUAGACUAGAGUGUGAGAGAGGGUUGUGGAAUUCCCAGUGUAGAGGUGAAAUUCGUAGAUAUUGGGAAGAACA